Malaya genurostris is the source of this 3471-nucleotide RNA transcript. RefSeq lists it as uncharacterized. The transcript has 2 exons. Lineage: Eukaryota; Metazoa; Arthropoda; Insecta; Diptera; Culicidae. The record is from RefSeq and is a predicted model, not a curated record.
GAAGCGAAAGCCUAUUCGCGCACCCCUGGUAGUGAUGACAACGUUCCUGCUGAAAUCAGUAAUACCAACGACUCACCGACUUUACUUCAGUGACAGUUAUUACCUCGUUGAAGUACAGUACGUUAAGACACGAGUAGAAAACGUGGUCGAAUUGAAUAAGUUAUAAUUUGUGCUAUUAUAUUUAUCAGUUAAAUAAACACCAAAAUGUAAGUUUCUUGAAAUUAUGCAAACAUGUAAAACUAAUCUGGAAUAAAUUUACAGCUUAAAGCUAUAUUGAAUUACGCUAAAGGAUUGUGUUAUUUCUAACCUCGUCGUGACGGACUUCCACGACAUUCUGAAAAUUUCUAACCUCGUCGUGACGGGUUUCCACGACAUUCUUUAAGAUUGGGUUAAUAGAUUGUAUAGGCAGUUCAAGAUUCUCAACUGUACGUGCAUUUAUUAAACUAUGUUUUCUGUGUUUACCCUUCCCGGAUAUCUGAAGCUUUACUACAAGAGAAUCGUUUUCGAUUCGAGAAACAUUCCCAGUCCACCGAAGAUGCAAGGGGUCAUGUAUACCUUGCAAGCCAAGCUCAUCGACUAAUUGAUUUUCAAUCAAGGUUACCUCAGAACCUUCAUCUAGUAACGCGAAAGUGCUUAUCUUUUUCAAGCCACUAUACAAUGUUACCGGUAUUACUCGGUAUAGAACCGUAUGACCGGCGCUAUGAUGAUUUUGCGGACUGCUAAGUGUAUUUGAUGGAAUUGGUGAGUAAUGAAGCAAAGGGUGAUGACGCAGGCGACAUCCAUCUACAGAACAGUCUUUGGGUCUUCUACAAGGCCACGGAGCGUGACUUUUCAAACAGGAUCUACACAGCUCAUGCUGUCUCACCAUCUUCCAUUUUUCUCCAGGACUGAGUUUGCAGAGAGAAAAUGAUGCUGAAUCGGUACUCGGUAUUCGCUGGCAGCCACAAACGGAUGAAAUAUUGUUUUCGACACAAUUUUCUAGUUCCGUUGGCCAACUUUUGGAUAAAAUCGUUCGCCCAACUAAACGUCAAGUUCUUCGUGUAGUCAUGAGCCUCUACGACCCGUUGGGCUUACUCGCGUCUUUUUUGAUACACGGAAGAGUGAUUAUUCAAGACAUCUGGCGUACGAAUUGCGACUGGGACGAUCAAAUCGAGGAUAGCAUUUAUGCCGACUGGAAAAAAUGGAUUGGUUUUUUUCCUCGUUUAAAGGAAGUAAAGAUUCCUCGAGCAUAUUUCGGUAAGAGUGUUCCGGAGCGUUGCCAUCCUAUUCAACUACACGUUUUCGUCGAUGCGAGUUCUACAGCGUUCGCGUGUGUAAUCUAUGUCCGUUUUAUCGAAGAUGGUGAGCCGCGAUGUACACUCAUCGGAGCCAAAGCCAAAGUGGCUCCAAUCAAACCUUUGUCUAUACCCCGACUGGAACUGCAGGCGGCCUUGUUGGGCACUAGAAUGCUGCAACAUGUGAUCAAACACCAUAAGCUACCGAUUUCGGGGGCCUACAUUUCUCUGGAAACCUGAAAAUUCAUGGCCGUCACAAAACUGGGGAGCAUUUUCGACAACUGAAUUACCUGAAAAUGAACAACGAGUAGUGAGUAUCCAUCGGAAGGAGUUAACUGGGACAAUAAUAAAAGUUUCGAGAUUUUCGAAAUGGGAAAGGUUGCUACGGACUGUAGCCUACGUCUUUCGUUUUGCUAGCAGAAGAAAUGUUGUCAACAAUCGUAACUCACUUGAACUGCUAGAUCAGCAGUUUCAACGAAAGGCGGAAACAGCUUUGUGGAAAAUAGUUCAAAUGGAUUCCUUUCCAGAAGUAAUAGCGGCAUGGAAAACCGACAAAAACAAUAAGCCUUCGGGGGUGGAGCCGAUAUACCACCCGCAAUUCAAAACAACAAUUUUUAUUGAUGAUGACGGAGUGAUUAAAUUGGAUGGUCGUAUCGGCGCCGCCCCCAAUCUGCCGAUCGAAGCUAAGUAUCCUAUUAUACUAGCUACGAACCAUCCAAUAACGUUUCUUUUCGUAGAUUACUACCACCGCCGUUUCAACCAUCGAAAUCGUGAGACAGUUUUCAACGAGCUCCGUCAAGUCGUCUACAUCCCCGGAUUACGUAAUCUUAUUAGAAAGGUUACUGCACGAUGUCAGUGGUGUAAAGUUUACACCGCGCUCCCCGUUCACCCUAAGAUGGCACCGCUACCACAAGCCAGAUUGGUAGCCUUCCAGCGACCAUUCACAUACAUUGGACUGGACUAUUUUGGGCCGUUACUCGUCAAGGUUGGGCGCAGCCACGUAAAGCGAUGGGUGGCGUUAUUUACAUGCUUGACCACACGAGCUGUUCACAUGGAGGUAGCCCAUACUCUAUCAACGAUUUCCUGUAAGAUGUGCAUUCGCCGGUUCAUAGCUCGAAGAGGCGCCCCGUGUGAGAUCUAUUCGGACAAUGGCACCAAUUUCCGUGGUGCAACGAGUGAACUGUCGAAACAGAUCAUUAGUAUCAACCAAAGCUGUGCGGAAUAUUUCACUAACACAACCACUAAUUGGUUCUUUAAUCCUCCUGCGGCUCCUCACAUGGGAGGCGUGUGGGAGCGGCUCGUGAGAUCAAUCAAAACCGCUAUGGAUUCCUUCAAAACUGCUCCACGCGUACCCGAUGAAGAAACCUUUGAAACAAUAAUUCUAGAAGCUGAGAGUAUGGUUAAUACUAGACCUCUAACGUUUAUACCGUUAGACUCGGACACUCAGGAAUCCCUAACACCAAAUCAUUUCCUAUUGGGCAGCUCUAGUGGAGUUCGACAACCACCAUGUGAUCCAACAUCAGCAGUCGAGUGUUUACGUAGUAGCUGGAACUUGGCAAAACAUAUUUUGGAUGGAUUUUGGAGCAGAUGGUUACGAGAGUAUUUACCGACGAUUGCGAGACGAACAAAGUGGUUUGAAAACGUCAAACAGCUGGAACAGGGUGAUCUUGUCUUCAUAGCAGAUGAGGGCAGACGGAACAGCUGGAUUCGUGGACGGAUCGUACAGUUGAUUUUAAACCGAGAUGGAGUUCCACGGCAAGCAAUCGUAGAGACGGAAUUCGGCUUGCUUAGACGCCCAGCCGUAAAGCUCGCUAUUAUCGAUAUAAAGGAAAAUUGUGAGACCGUGUCUAGCGGUGAGAACCACACUCUGUCUCACGUCCCGGGGAAUGUUGGGGAAGCGAAAGCCUAUUCGCGCACCCCUGGUAGUGAUGACAACGUUCCUGCUGAAAUCAGUAAUACCAACGACUCACCGACUUUACUUCAGUGACAGUUAUUACCUCGUUGAAGUACAGUACGUUAAGACACGAGUAGAAAACGUGGUCGAAUUGAAUAAGUUAUAAUUUGUGCUAUUAUAUUUAUCAGUUAAAUAAACACCAAAAUCUUAAAGCUAUAUUGAAUUACGCUAAAGGAUUGUGUUAUUUCUAACCUCGUCGUGACGGACUUCCACGACAUUCUGAAAAUUUCUAACCUCGUCGUG